This is a non-coding RNA of Fukomys damarensis (Damara mole-rat), 334 nucleotides long. The record is from Rfam. Lineage: Eukaryota; Metazoa; Chordata; Mammalia; Rodentia; Bathyergidae.
GGAUGUGAGGGCGAUCCGGCUGAGACAUCUGUCGCCCCAUUGAUUGUCAGGGUUGAUUCGGCUGACCUGGCCUGGCUAGGCAGGUGUCCCCUUCCUCCCGCAGGGCUCCAUAUGUGUCCCUCCCAAUGCGAUGCUCGGCGGUCAAAGAGAACAACCAUGCCCAAGAGAGGAGAGGAGGACUGUAUACUCAAGGGUAUAUGAGUAGCUGCGCUCCCCUGCUAGAACUUCCAAACAAGCUCUAAAGGCUGACAAAGAGAAUAUAGCAUUCACUGUCAUAUUUGGGCUUUCUUGUAAGAAUUGUAGCUCAGUCACAUAGUUCAUAUGGGACAGCUGU